This 468-nucleotide ribosomal RNA is filed under the name uncultured bacterium. RNAcentral describes it as "partial 16S ribosomal RNA". It matches the Rfam family "Bacterial small subunit ribosomal RNA", at positions 28 to 507 of the family's 1533-position model. The record is from RNAcentral.
GACGAACGCUGGCGGCGUGCUUAACACAUGCAAGUCGAACGGAAAGGCCCUGCUUUUGUGGGGUGCUCGAGUGGCGAACGGGUGAGUAACACGUGAGUAACCUGCCCUUGACUUUGGGAUAACUUCAGGAAACUGGGGCUAAUACCGGAUAGGAGCUCCUGCUGCAUGGUGGGGGUUGGAAAGUUUCGGCGGUUGGGGAUGGACUCGCGGCUUAUCAGCUUGUUGGUGGGGUAGUGGCUUACCAAGGCUUUGACGGGUAGCCGGCCUGAGAGGGUGACCGGCCCCCUUGGGACUGGGGUACGGCCCGGACUCCUACGGGAGGCAGCAGUGGGGAAUAUUGCACAAUGGGCGGAAGCCUGAUGCAGCAACGCCGCGUGCGGGAUGACGGCCUUCGGGUUGUAAACCGCUUUCGCCUGUGACGAAGCGUGAGUGACGGUAAUGGGUAAAGAAGCACCGGCUAACUACGUG